Molecule: long non-coding RNA, 979 nt
Filed under: Setaria viridis
Lineage: Eukaryota; Viridiplantae; Streptophyta; Magnoliopsida; Poales; Poaceae
Description: long non-coding RNA (SVIR_LNC008456)
Source: RNAcentral
UCAUGUUUAGUCCUCCUAAUUAGUCUCCGAAUAUUCGAUGUGACAUGAAUUUUAGUCCGGAUUAAAGAUCCAAACACCUCCUAAUGCUAGCACUAGGAAUACAAUUUUUCCAAAACACAAACGCACAAGUCGUGAACUUGAAUCAAUAUGGCAAGGUUACUGCCGAGUAAGUAUAAUGAGAUGCUAAUUGAAGGAUUAAAUUAACUUGAAGAAAUAUAUUACUACUCUCUCCGUUUCAAAUCGUAAUCAUUUUGAUUUUUUUAAAUACAUAGAUUUUGCUAUGUAUUUAGACAUAAUGUGUACUACUUAGAUAUGCAUAGUAAAAAAUCAUGCAUCUAGAAAAAGAUAAAAAAUAACUUACAAUUUGAAACGGUGCAGAUGGAGUAGUAGUGAUCAUUAGUACACAAUGGUUACCUUUUAAGUAUUUUGAGACUUAAUCUGAAUUGAUAGCUAGCAUUUGGUCGAUAUGUGUACCACUCCGGCCAUCCAUUUUCAAUUUCGUUGAGGUUUAAUUAGGAGCUAGGGUUAGAGUUCUUGUUCUUCCAAACACACACACAUCUGAGGAUCAAAGGAAGUUACGGAUAUGAUGUUCACAAACAUAAAAAAUAUCAUUGGGGGAGAUUGGACUAGAAGAAGUCCUAGUGAACUAUAGCAGCAUACAUGACAGCAUGACACAGCUGAUCCUCUCCCUCCCCGCUGCAAGAGAGAACAAAGUACAUGCAUGCGCAUCACGAGCGGUUGCUAACUCUGCUUCCGCUGGAUCUCAAAGUUUAAUAGUACCUGGCUUAGUGUUGGCUAGCGGAAUAGUUGCAUGUUCUUUUCCUUCGGAAUUGCUGUAUCACGUUUCCGUCCAUAAAUGCCUCGAGCAAGGCCGGCUACCAAACAAAAAUAUAAUUCGGAGGCAGGCACGUACGGUAACGUACCCGCGCCAGCAGAGAUCAUCGUGAUGCCAAGGAGGAAUCCACAUGCAUGACCUGCA